GCGAACCGGGAAGAGCCCA
This 19-nucleotide small nuclear RNA is filed under the name Arabidopsis thaliana (thale cress). RNAcentral describes it as "snRNA_13513". The record is from RNAcentral. Lineage: Eukaryota; Viridiplantae; Streptophyta; Magnoliopsida; Brassicales; Brassicaceae.